GUGACUGCGUACCUUUUGUAUAAUGGGUCAGCGACUUAUAUUCUGUAGCAAGGUUAACCGAAUAGGGGAGCCGAAGGGAAACCGAGUCUUAACUGGGCGUUAAGUUGCAGGGUAUAGACCCGAAACCCGGUGAUCUAGCCAUGGGCAGGUUGAAGGUUGGGUAACACUAACUGGAGGACCGAACCGACUAAUGUUGAAAAAUUAGCGGAUGACUUGUGGCUGGGGGUGAAAGGCCAAUCAAACCGGGAGAUAGCUGGUUCUCCCCGAAAGCUAUUUAGGUAGCGCCUCGUGAAUUCAUCUCCGGGGGUAGAGCACUGUUUCGGCAAGGGGGUCAUCCCGACUUACCAACCCGAUGCAAACUGCGAAUACCGGAGAAUGUUAUCACGGGAGACACACGGCGGGUGCUAACGUCCGUCGUGAAGAGGGAAACAACCCAGACCGCCAGCUAAGGUCCCAAAGUCAUGGUUAAGUGGGAAACGAUGUGGGAAGGCCCAGACAGCCAGGAUGUUGGCUUAGAAGCAGCCAUCAUUUAAAGAAAGCGUAAUAGCUCACUGGUCGAGUCGGCCUGCGCGGAAGAUGUAACGGGGCUAAACCAUGCAC
This 600-nucleotide ribosomal RNA is filed under the name Escherichia coli. RNAcentral describes it as "partial 23S ribosomal RNA". It matches the Rfam family "Bacterial large subunit ribosomal RNA", at positions 593 to 1194 of the family's 2925-position model. The record is from RNAcentral. Lineage: Bacteria; Pseudomonadati; Pseudomonadota; Gammaproteobacteria; Enterobacterales; Enterobacteriaceae.